This 23-nucleotide non-coding RNA is filed under the name Xenopus tropicalis (tropical clawed frog). The record is from RNAcentral. Lineage: Eukaryota; Metazoa; Chordata; Amphibia; Anura; Pipidae. RNAcentral also lists the same sequence under 45 other names.
GGUGAACCUGCGGAAGGAUCAUU